This 433-nucleotide ribosomal RNA is filed under the name uncultured bacterium. RNAcentral describes it as "partial 16S ribosomal RNA". It matches the Rfam family "Bacterial small subunit ribosomal RNA", at positions 29 to 507 of the family's 1533-position model. The record is from RNAcentral.
AACGAACGCUGGCGGCAUGCCUAACACAUGCAAGUCGAACGAAGGCUUCGGCCUUAGUGGCGCACGGGUGCGUAACGCGUGGGAAUCUGCCCUUUGGUUCGGAAUAACAGCUGGAAACGGCUGCUAAUACCGGAUGAUGACGAAAGUCCAAAGAUUUAUCGCCAGAGGAUGAGCCCGCGUUGGAUUAGGUAGUUGGUGGGGUAAAGGCCUACCAAGCCGACGAUCCAUAGCUGGUCUGAGAGGAUGAUCAGCCACGCUGGGACUGAGACACGGCCCAGACUCCUACGGGAGGCAGCAGUGGGGAAUAUUGGACAAUGGGCGCAAGCCUGAUCCAGCAAUGCCGCGUGAGUGAUGAAGGCCCUAGGGUUGUAAAGCUCUUUUACCCGGGAAGAUAAUGACGGUACCGGGAGAAUAAGCCCCGGCUAACUCCGUG